CCCACACUCAUAUGUUUUAUUUAUAUAUUUAUUUAUUUUUGGCACCAGGGAUUGAACUCAGGUCCUUGUGCUUGCGCAGCAGGUGGUGAAACCACUGAACUAAAUCCCCAGCCCUCAUAUAUUUAAGUGUACACACACAUACACAUGCACGCACACCCCACACAUGCACACACUUGCUAACAUGUGCAAAUACACAUCGCCCGGUAUACACAUAGACCUAAGUGUGCAGCUCACAUGUGCACACAAUCACACACACACACUCCCAGCAAGCAGUUCAUAAAUUUUGGGAGUGCUGCUGAAGAUUUUUGGCUAUGAGGAUGGGUUACAUUACACAGAGGACAGCUCCCCCAUCUUACAGCUUCCUCUACCUACUUUCUCUGUCUUGCCUUUCUAGUCCUUCUUUUCCUCCAGCACUACCACCUUCCCCUGUGGCCCCAACAUUUCUAUCCCUCUGUUUUGUAGAGCCAUUCUGCUGCCCACUCUGGAGCUGGAGAAGGCCAAACUGCACCUGCAGAUCUCAGCCAACCAAGGAGGUCUUUCCCAGAGUCAUGGGACUCAAGUUUGUCCAUUUUGUCUCAAACAUCAUUAGGAAUGGAUGUAACAGAAAAGCAUCUUGUCAGCUCCUGUUUACUACCCAAGCCUGCCACAUUGAGCCUCUACUCAGUGCCGGCACUGGGCCAGGCCUUGCAGCCACAGAGACAGUAAAGCACCACAGUCUAAAGCCAAAAAACAGACACGUAAACAAAUAGUGAUGCAUGAAGGUACCAGGGAUCGAACUUGGGUCCUUGCACUUGCAAGGCAGGCAGCGGAACCACUGAGCUAAAUCCCCGGCCAAAUGCUUAAAUUUUUAAAAAUUGUAUUACAGUAAAAGACACAUUGCCACUAUUCUUCCCUUAAAAUUCUCUCUCUCCUUUUUUUUUUAUUUGGUACCCGGGAUCGAACUUGGGUCCUUGUGCUUGUGCAGCAGGCGGCGAAACCACUGAGCUAAAUCCCCAGCCCCUCUCUCUCCUUUUGAACGCACUUCUCCCUUU
This 1031-nucleotide long non-coding RNA is filed under the name Heterocephalus glaber (naked mole-rat). RNAcentral describes it as "lncRNA (ENSHGLG00100046366.1)". The record is from RNAcentral. Lineage: Eukaryota; Metazoa; Chordata; Mammalia; Rodentia; Bathyergidae.